AAUAUUGGACAAUGGGCGAAAGGCUGAUCCAGCCAUGCCGCGUGUAUGAUGAAGGUCUUCGGAUUGUAAAGCACUUUAAGUUGGGAGGAAGGGUUGUAGGUUGAUACCCUGCAAUUUUGACGUUACCAACAGAAUAAGCACCGCCUAACUUCGUGCCAGCAGCCGCGGUAAUAAGAAGGGUGCAAGCGUUAAUCGGAAUUACUGGGCGUAAAGCGCGCGUAGGUGGUUCGUUAAGUUGGAAGUGAAAGCCCAGAGCUUACCCUAGGAAUUGCUUGAAAUACUGACGAUCUAGAGUACGGUAGAGGGUAGUGUAAUUUCCUGUGUAGCGGUGAAAUGCGUAGAUAUAGGAAGGAACAUCAGUGGCGAAGGCGACUACCUGGACUGAUCCUGACACUGAGGUGCGAAAGCGUGAGGAGCAAACAGG
This 424-nucleotide ribosomal RNA is filed under the name uncultured bacterium. Its description in RNAcentral is "partial 16S ribosomal RNA". It matches the Rfam family "Bacterial small subunit ribosomal RNA", at positions 360 to 776 of the family's 1533-position model. The record is from RNAcentral.